Molecule: transfer RNA, 64 nt
Filed under: Seepiophila jonesi
Lineage: Eukaryota; Metazoa; Annelida; Polychaeta; Sabellida; Siboglinidae
Description: tRNA-Gly
Source: RNAcentral
ACUUUCUCAGUAUAAAUUUGUACAACUGCCUUCCAAGCAGUAAGUUUGGUAUUCAAAGAAAGUA